ACUCCUACGGGAGGCAGCAGUGGGGAAUAUUGGACAAUGGGCGCAAGCCUGAUCCAGCAAUGCCGCGUGAGUGAUGAAGGCCUUAGGGUUGUAAAGCUCUUUUACCCGGGAAGAUAAUGACUGUACCGGGAGAAUAAGCCCCGGCUAACUCCGUGCCAGCAGCCGCGGUAAU
This 172-nucleotide ribosomal RNA is filed under the name uncultured bacterium. Its description in RNAcentral is "partial 16S ribosomal RNA". It matches the Rfam family "Bacterial small subunit ribosomal RNA", at positions 335 to 524 of the family's 1533-position model. RNAcentral also lists the same sequence under 1 other name. The record is from RNAcentral.